GACGAACGCUGGCGGCGUGCUUAACACAUGCAAGUCGAACGGAAAGGCCCUGCUUUCGUGGGGUGCUCGAGUGGCGAACGGGUGAGUAACACGUGAGUAACCUGCCCUUGACUUUGGGAUAACUUCAGGAAACUGGGGCUAAUACCUGAUAGGAGCUCCUGCUGCAUGGUGGGGGUUGGAAAGUUUCGGCGGUUGGGGAUGGACGCGCGGCUUAUCAGCUUGUUGGUGGGGUAGUGGCUUACCAAGGCUUUGACGGGUAGCCGGCCUGAGAGGGGGACCGGCCACAUUGGGACUGAGAUACGGCCCAGACUCCUACGGGAGGCAGCAGUGGGGAAUAUUGCACAAUGGGCGGAAGCCUGAUGCAGCAACGCCGCGUGCGGGAUGACGGCCUUCGGGUUGUAAACCGCAUUCGCCUGUGACGAAGCGUGAGUGACGGUAAUGGGUGAAGAAGCACCGGCUAACUACGUG
This 468-nucleotide ribosomal RNA is filed under the name uncultured bacterium. RNAcentral describes it as "partial 16S ribosomal RNA". It matches the Rfam family "Bacterial small subunit ribosomal RNA", at positions 28 to 507 of the family's 1533-position model. The record is from RNAcentral.